RNAcentral lists this ribosomal RNA (1347 nucleotides) under uncultured Mortierella. Its description in RNAcentral is "eukaryotic LSU rRNA". The stretch from base 601 to 1347 matches the Rfam family "Eukaryotic large subunit ribosomal RNA", at positions 1 to 619 of the family's 3401-position model. Lineage: Eukaryota; Fungi; Mortierellomycota; Mortierellomycetes; Mortierellales; Mortierellaceae. The record is from RNAcentral.
AAGUCGUAACAAGGUUUCCGUAGGUGAACCUGCGGAAGGAUCAUUCAUAAUAAGUGUUUUAUGGCACUUUUUAAAUCCAUAUCCACCUUGUGUGCAAUGUCAGUCGAUCUUCUUCAUGGAGAUCGGCCAAACAUCAACCUUAUUUUUUAACUCUUUGUCUGAAAAAUAUUAUGAAUAAACAAUUCAAAAUACAACUUUCAACAACGGAUCUCUUGGCUCUCGCAUCGAUGAAGAACGCAGCGAAAUGCGAUACGUAAUGUGAAUUGCAGAAUUCAGUGAAUCAUCGAAUCUUUGAACGCAUAUUGCGCUCUUUGGUAUUCCGAAGAGCAUGCUUGUUUGAGUAUCAGUAAACACCUCAAAGCUUUUGGAUUUUUUUUGAAAGCUUUGGACUUGAGCAAUCCCAACGCCAAUCUUUUUCAGAUCGGCGGCGGGUUGCUUGAAAUGCAGGUGCAGCUGGACUUUCUCCUGAGCUAAAAGCAUAUUCAUUUAGUCCCGUCAAACGGAUUAUUACUUUUGCUGCAGCUAACAUAAAGGGAGUUUGACCGUAUUGGCUGACUGAUGCAGGAUUUUACAAGGGUCGGCAACGAUUCUUGUUAAACUCGAUCUCAAAUCAAGUAAGACUACCCGCUGAACUUAAGCAUAUCAAUAAGCGGAGGAAAAGAAACUAACAAGGAUUCCCCUAGUAACGGCGAGUGAAGCGGGAUGAGCUCAAAUUUAAAAUCUGGCUGGUUUACUAGUCCGAAUUGUAGUUUAUAGAAGCGUUUUCGGUGGCAGCCUGGGUAUAAAUCCUUUGGAAUAGGGUAUCAUAGAGGGUGAGAAUCCCGUCUUUGACUCAGUGCAUGCUACUAUGUGAUACGUUUUCAAAGAGUCGAGUUGUUUGGGAAUGCAGCUCAAAAUGGGUGGUAAAUUUCAUCUAAGGCUAAAUAUUGGCGAGAGACCGAUAGCGAACAAGUACCGUGAGGGAAAGAUGAAAAGAACUUUGAAAAGAGAGUUAAACAGUGCGUGAAAUUGUUGAAAGGGAAACGUUUGACACCAGUUAUGCGGGUGGAAAAUCAGUCUUUUGCAGUGGGGAGUUGUGGGCGUUCAGACCGCAAGGCUGGCGUUUGCUUCAUCUUUGUUGUAAGUGAUGCACUUUUUCAUUUGCAGGUCAACAUCAGUUUGCUUUGCUGGACAAAACCCCAAGGGAAGGUGACAGCUUAGGCUGUGUUAUAGCCCUGGGGCGAUACAGUGGAGUGGACUGAGGUUUCGCAGUGUGUGCUCUCGGGCAAGGCUGACUGGGUGCUAUGGGAUCGUUCGGCGUACAAUGCAUGCAUUUUGCGUCGUGUCUUUUUCAUACUCGCUCAACUC